RNAcentral lists this ribosomal RNA (651 nucleotides) under uncultured organism. RNAcentral's name for it is "bacterial SSU rRNA". It matches the Rfam family "Bacterial small subunit ribosomal RNA", at positions 123 to 750 of the family's 1533-position model. The record is from RNAcentral.
AACCUGCCCCUAAAUCCGGAAUAACAUUGCUAACGCGGUGCUAAUACCGGAUGUGGUCUCCAGUUUGCAUGAACAGGAGAUUAAAGGUGACCUCUACUUGUAAGUUAUCGUUUAGGAAUGGUCUUGCGGACCAUUAGCUUGUUGGCGGGGUAACGGCCCACCAAGGCUGCGAUGGUUAGCCGGCUUAAGAGGGUGAUCGGCCACAUUGGGACUGAGAUACGGCCCAGACUCCUACGGGAGGCAGCAGUAGGGAAUUUUGCGCAAUGGACGAAAGUCUGACGCAGCAACGCCGCGUGAGCGAUGAAGGUUUUCGGAUUGUAAAGCUCUGUUGAGUGGGAAGAAAACUCUCCGGGAUAAUACCCCGGAGACUUGACGGUACCACUCGAGGAAGCCCCGGCUAAAUACGUGCCAGCAGCCGCGGUAAUACGUAUGGGGCAAGCGUUGUUCGGAAUCACUGGGCGUAAAGGGAGUGUAGGCGGAAAGGUAAGUUAGAAGUGUAAUCCACGGGCUUAACCCGUGACUCGCUUUUAAUACUGCUUUUCUUGAGUAUGGGAGAGGGAGAUGGAAUUCCAGGUGUAGCGGUGGAAUGCGUAGAUCUCUGGCAGAACACCAGUAGCGAAGGCGGUCUCCUGGCCCAAUACUGACGCUGAG